This is a long non-coding RNA of Malaclemys terrapin pileata, 1372 nucleotides long. RefSeq lists it as uncharacterized. Lineage: Eukaryota; Metazoa; Chordata; Testudines; Emydidae. The record is from RefSeq and is a predicted model, not a curated record. The transcript is spliced from 4 exons.
UUUCAACCAGUUCUACUUUUCAGGAAUUAUACACUUGGAUAAAGAAUUUCAAAGCUACAUAAGGGAUCUAACAGAUAGAAACAUACUAAGAUGAAAGCAUUCAAUCUAGUCAGACUGAAGACACCUUCAACAUAUCACCAGGAGGUACUUUCAUUAGAAAGGGAACACUCAGAAUAAAUCGUAAAAAGUUGGUCCUGAGUGCUGUUAGCAAGCUCUCUCUCUAACCUAGGUCUCUGCAGGAAGCAAGUAAUCUGGCAACAAACAACUACAGAAUUAUAGCUUAACUGAAGAUUCUUCUUCUCAAGAUUUUGGGCAAAUGUGGAGUAAACUACCACAAAUAAAACUAAAUUUGAUCCUCUGCACUGCAACUGAGAAAACAGGUCAUGAUUUAUGGAGAUAGGGAUCCAUAUUGCUUGUCUUGCCAGGAAGCAGGGCUCAGCAUGGAGCCAUAUGAAGCCUUCAAGACUAUUCACAUAGAAGGAUCAUUGUUAGGCAACAGAAGACAUUCAUUUCUCCCAGUUUCCGAGACCCAGUUGGCCAGAAAUGAAAGAUGACAUUUGAAUUUGGAUUUUCACCUCACCCCAAAAGAUAGCUCAUUAAGUUAUUUUGAUCUUUAUCCUCAGAACUGCACAAGUCAUGCCAUGAACUGGAGACUUUUAAUCUUAAACCUUGAUCCUUCGGUCUUUACAUAAGCAAAAUUCCCAUCUCAAAUGGAAUAUUGUAGGAUUGGGCCCUUAGUCAGAAAAAAGAACUGGUUUCUGGGUGCAUAAUAGACCAUAGUAAUAUUUGUUGGAGGAAAGGAGUAUCUUCGGUAUUGUUGCUAGACUGGCUAGGUUAAUGGAGUUCCUAAAUCAACCCAAAAUAGCAAGCAUUUGUUGUAUGAUUAGCUUCACAAUAUAUCCAGUAGCAAGAGCAAACUCUAAUACAAAUAUCUGAGUUAGCUAUCAUAGCUCUCAGUCGACCACUGGUGUCCUUUUAUUGGUUGUUGCAGCUGAGAUUCUAUUCCUAAUCCUACCCACAAAUCCCUAUACAACAUCACUGCCCUGAUGUACUGUGUACUCUAGGUUAAGCAUAGAAGAACUGAAGUUUAAAUAGAAGAUAGAAUGUAUUUUGCUUUGGCUGUAACAAAAAAUUAAAAAAUGGGAUUUCACAACAGGUGAAUACCUAACCAAAAAAACCUGCUUAAUAUUAUUGCCAAUAUUUUCCUCCUCCCUUCCUCCCAGUAUUUAUCAUCACUUACCAAGUUAUGGCUUAACUUUGUUUGAAAGGUCUCUGCACAAGCAAAGCAAGAAACUGCUUGAGAUCCAGCUUUUGGGGGACUGUCUUUUGUUUGUAAAAUGCCAUACACAUGUAUAAAUAAUAAUAAAUGUUA